RNAcentral lists this long non-coding RNA (528 nucleotides) under Zonotrichia albicollis (white-throated sparrow). RNAcentral describes it as "lncRNA (ENSZALG00000004064.1)". The record is from RNAcentral. Lineage: Eukaryota; Metazoa; Chordata; Aves; Passeriformes; Passerellidae.
UAGAACUCAGCUGAUUACCCUGACAAGGCCCAAUAACCAUUGCUCUGACACAUCUUCUUCCCUGCAGGCCUCCUCGCUGACAGAAUGGCUCAAGAAGGUCCUCACAGCUGUUUAUGUACCUUCUGUUCAAGAUGCCCUCCGUGUGUCGGUUCCACUGCCCAACGUCCUGAACACCAACCUCAGGAACGCUGCAGUUGCCAUCACUGAUGAGGAUGAGUUUUCUGGCCAGAGCACUCUGGGAAGAUCCUGCUCGGGGGGAACCUCGUUGCUGCUCCCUUUCUGAGGCAGCACAUGCACCCCAAGCCCUGCUCUGCUCCACUCUCUCCCUCUUCCUUUCUCUCCAGUGCUGCUCUGUGCUGUGGCUGUGGCCUGAGCAGGACAGGCAGCAGCCUCUGGCUUGGCUGGUGGAUGUUUGGGGGUUCCUGUGGCCCCUUUUAACAUCCACAGCCAGAAGGCAGACAACUCUUAGGCACAUAGGCUGCUCUCGUAUUGCUCUUUCAAUAAAAUCUCUCCCUGUCACAGUAUUUU